UGCGAUUUUUUGAAUGGAAACACUAACGAAGAUUUUAAUUAAGAAUUAACACUCUGUAAGAUCGGCUGCUCAGGCAGCAAGGGAGUACUUGUAGCCCUGGAGAUGGAAAUGGGAUAAUUACUAAGGCAAAUGGAUCCGUCUGACCCAUUAUCCUUUAUUUCUUCCAGAUUCUAGAUGCUUCCCCAGCCCUUCCUUUAUGACUGUUUGACAAUGGAGCAGGAGGCCGUGGCUUUUCCCUGUAUCGGUUGAGCUCGAUCGUGUACAAUCUCCCACCCCCGGAGGUAAAAUCUCGCAGUUUCUUCAGAGUUACUACCGUGAUAUUACAACUUACGGUACGAAUGCUACUAACAAGGACAGCAGCAGCUGCAGCAGCUACAAUUAUUUACGGAACAAUUAUGCCAAGAAACAAUCACUCACCAUCAAAACAAUCCAAGAAGUUGCUAAUCCUGAUAUGGAAGAGAAUAUAGACUGAAGGUAUUGCAAGAC
Molecule: long non-coding RNA, 486 nt
Filed under: Fukomys damarensis (Damara mole-rat)
Lineage: Eukaryota; Metazoa; Chordata; Mammalia; Rodentia; Bathyergidae
Description: lncRNA (ENSFDAG00000027712.1)
Source: RNAcentral